ACCCCAAUUUUCUUCCCAUCUUGUCACCAGCUAUCAACUCUUUUCUUUCCCUCCAAGCUCCCGAUCCUCUGGUGCAAGAAGAAGCAGAAGCCGCUGCCAUUCCAAGCUUCUAACAGCCUUCCAUUCUCAGCCAUUCACACCCCAAUCUUCAAGCUUCCAUUUCCAGCUUCCACCUCCAUUCUUGGCUGCUGUCUCGACCGAGCAAGGAGGAGGAAGAUCGCUGCUGCUGCUGCCGGCGUUGCGUCGGACCAGGGGAGAAGGAGAAACCAGCUGCCAUUUUUCUUUCCUCUAACCACAGAACCUUCCAAGCUGACUCAAAAACCCCAGACCCAAACUUCUCUUCACCUUAACGUUUGCUGCUGUGUUGCUGCUGUGGGUGGUCAGACCGAGAGGGAAACAGAGAGCAAGGGAGCCGGCUGACCCUCUGUGGUUCUAGGAGCAACUUGAGGAACUAGACAAUACCUUUAGCUAGUAAACAACCCACUUGAAGGAGUUGGUAAAGAGCACAAUCUCGAUCAAAGUUUGGAAUUCUAGACUCUUCACUUGAGGUUCUGAAUUGUAUGAAGUCUUGGAGAACUAGAAAAGAAAUGUUAUAUUUUGAAUGCCCACUUUUGUAUUUGUACUUUGGGAAAACUUUAGUAUCUUUUGGAUGACUUUGGUGUCUUUGGGAAAAUGUGAAUCCUGUGGUGCUUCUGUGCCCUGGAUUAGGAAUUUUUAAAUUGUAAAUUAAGUUGAAUUUAAGUAUUUUAAGUUCGACAUUUUCUUUGAUGCUUGAAAUUGUACUUUUGGACAGAGUAAGUUGAAUGGUACGGUUUGUUUAA
Long non-coding RNA from Coffea arabica (coffee), 821 nucleotides. RefSeq lists it as uncharacterized. The record is from RefSeq and is a predicted model, not a curated record. Lineage: Eukaryota; Viridiplantae; Streptophyta; Magnoliopsida; Gentianales; Rubiaceae.